Molecule: non-coding RNA, 288 nt
Organism: Paramuricea clavata
Lineage: Eukaryota; Metazoa; Cnidaria; Anthozoa; Malacalcyonacea; Plexauridae
Source: the annotation of a GenBank genome assembly
UCCAUGAAAGUCAAGCAUUCUUUUGCAAAAACUCCAAGACUGCUAAUUGAAAUAUUUAUAAAUUUGACCUUCUCGUAAUACUCGCUUUGUUCCCUAAUUAAUUCUGAGUAUUUGGCCUUUUUGCGUUGAACAUUCUUUUCGAGAUUAGACUCGUACCCAACAGUUAGUUCCACGAUAUAUAAACAUCCACUUGAGGUUGACAGCAGCAAAUCAGGACGAUAACAGUCACCAGUAAUGAUGGAUGGACUUUUGUAUCCUGCGAGAUCCACAUAAAGACAUGAUCCGCUG